GUGGGGAAUAUUGGACAAUGGGCGAAAGCCUGAUCCAGCCAUGCCGCGUGUGUGAAGAAGGUCUUCGGAUUGUAAAGCACUUUAAGUUGGGAGGAAGGGCAGUAAGUUAAUACCUUGCUGUUUUGACGUUACCGACAGAAUAAGCACCGGCUAACUUCGUGCCAGCAGCCGCGGUAAUACGAAGGGUGCAAGCGUUAAUCGGAAUUACUGGGCGUACAGCGCGCGUAGGUGGUUUUGUAAGUUGGAGGUGAAAUCCCCGGGCUCAACCUGGGAACUGCCUCCAAAACUGCAUGACUAGAGUACGGUAGAGGGUAGUGGAAUUUCCUGUGUAGCGGUGAAAUGCGUAGAUAUAGGAAGGAACACCAGUGGCGAAGGCGACUACCUGGACUGAUACUGACACUGAGGUGCGAAAGCGUGGGGAGCAAACAGGAUUAGAUACCCGGGUAGUCC
RNAcentral lists this ribosomal RNA (450 nucleotides) under uncultured bacterium. Its description in RNAcentral is "bacterial SSU rRNA". It matches the Rfam family "Bacterial small subunit ribosomal RNA", at positions 354 to 796 of the family's 1533-position model. The record is from RNAcentral.